GAACAGGGGUAGUAUUGGAAUCCGAAGUUCCCGAAACUGAAGCAUUCAUUGCUUCCGUGGAAUGUUCAGAACGUUUCUCUCUCCCAAAUUAGUCGCAUCGUAAUUUCAUCUGACAAAGGAGAGGAUUUUGUGGAAGUUGCGUUUUCCGACGAGAUGAAGAGCCGAAGAAAGCUUAAAAAAUGCCAGAUUGUUAAAGAAAAAGAUUGCGAAGAUUGGUGUUUCGUCUGCAAAGAUGGUGGAGACCUAAUUCUCUGCGAUUUCAAUGAUUGUUUGAAGGUUUAUCAUCCAGGGUGUGUGGGAAAAGACGAUUCCUUUGUAAAGACUGGAGAACACUGGACUUGUGAUCGGCAUUCUUGUUUAAUAUGCCAUAAAUCUCCAAAAUUCUAUUGCUACUGCUGUCCUAAUGCCAUAUGUGGGCAAUGCGUCAUUGCUGCUGAGUUUGCUCCUGUUAGAGGGAAGAAAGGACUAUGCAGUGAGUGUUUGGAGCUUGUAUUGCUUGUUGAAGAUAAGGAGGAUUUGGAAAUUGAUGGGGGCAAGAUAGACUUAGGAGAUCGAGACACAUAUGAAUGCCUGUUCUUGGAAUAUUGGGAUAUCAUAAAAGAAGAUGAGGGCUUGAGUUUGGAUGAUGUCUAUACAGCAGAUGCCAGGUUGAAGAAGGGUCAGCAUUCUAAUUAUAGCUUCAAGUCAAAAACGAUUGGCAAAGGCAAAAAAGAUAAUAUAUUGAUAUUGUCUGAUAGUGAUCUGGAUGAUACUCAAGAGUUUGAAAGAACCGUAAAAGGCAAGAGGUCCAAGGCACUGGAAUUUAUGGGAUGGGGAUCGAAGCCUCUUAUUGAGUUUCUUAGCUCUCUUGGUAAAGAUACAACAAAAGAGUUAUCACAAUAUGAUGUUCAUUCAAUUAUUUGUGAAUAUAUUCAAGGAAAAAGACUUUUUGAUCCCAGAAAGAGGAAGAGGAUCCUUUGUGAUGAAAGGCUUUAUUCGGUUUUUAGGAGGAGAUCUAUGAAUAAGAAUAAACUGUAUAAUCUUCUAGAAGCUCAUUUUGUUGUGAACUUAGACCUAUCAGAUGAAGAUGAAAAAUUGGAUGAAGCUGAAGGCUUUUCCCAUAAAAAAACUGAAAAGAACCUGGUAAUUCACAAGAAGCAGAGAACUGUGAGUUCUAAUGGAAACUUGCAAGAGUUGGAAGUAGAUCCUAGCGUCCGAGAAAGCUGUUUUGCAUCUAUUGUUCCGGACAAUAUAAGACUUGUCUACUUAAGAAAAAGUUUAGUGGAGGAGCUGUUAAAAGAUCCUGAAAGUUUUGAACGUAAGGUAGUCGGAAGUUUUGUGAGAGUCAAAAAUGACCCAAGAGACUGUGUGCUGAGAAAUUCUCACCAGCUUUUGCAAGUAACAGGGAUAAAGAAAAUCUCAACAACUGGUGAAAAUAAUGGCGACAUUGUUCUAAGGGUUUCCAAUUUUCCAACAGAUGUUUGCAUUUACAUGUUGUCGGAUUCUGACUUCUGUGAGGAAGAGAUUGAUGAUUUGAAACAAAAAGUGGAGAAGGAAUUCCUUCCAAAGCCAACUGUUGCGGAGCUUGAAGAAAAGGCUAAAUAUCUGCGUGAGGAUAUAAUGAAAGAUUGGAUUGAGAAAGAGCUGGUCAGAUUACAAAAGCGCAUUGACUUUGCUAAUGAGAAGGGAUGGAGGAGAGAAUAUCCUUUCAUGGUGUAGUUUAAUGAGAGAAGGUUAUCACUCAAUAGCAUUCCUCUUUGCCGAUGUGAAGAAGAAGCGAAAUUAACAACAUUAUGGACCAAUGCACACCCUGGAAGAAGAUUCUAUAGAUGCACAAACUAUGACAGAAGCAAUUGUUGUUAUUAUUUUGAGUGGGUUGAUCCAAAAUUUCCAAGGCAAGCAAAUGUUAUCAUAGUUGGGCUGCUGAAUCGAAUCAAAAGGAUGGAGCUUGAGAGAGAUGUGGAAAAGAAAGAGAUUGAAAAAAAUUGUAGGAGAUGGAAAAUGGUUGUAGCAUAUUUCUUGUUGUGUGUGAUUGGAAGAAUUUUCUUUUGUGCUUAGCAUAAAAGCUGAUUAGUAAUGUUGGGUUCUGGCCCAAAAUUUUGUUAAUAUUUUAUAGUUGUUUCUGGGCCAAAAUUUUGUUAAUAUUUUAUAAUUGGCUCUUUUGUGUAUUUUGAUAGAACUUUAUGUGUAAUGUAAUUUGAGUUAAGAUAUUACUGCUUUGUAUUGCUUAAUAUAUUUAAUCAAUUAUGUAAUUUUAAUCA
Hevea brasiliensis (rubber tree) is the source of this 2240-nucleotide RNA transcript. RefSeq lists it as uncharacterized. NCBI's taxonomy places the organism in Eukaryota, Viridiplantae, Streptophyta, Magnoliopsida, Malpighiales, Euphorbiaceae. The record is from RefSeq and is a predicted model, not a curated record. The transcript is spliced from 10 exons.